RNAcentral lists this ribosomal RNA (468 nucleotides) under uncultured bacterium. Its description in RNAcentral is "partial 16S ribosomal RNA". It matches the Rfam family "Bacterial small subunit ribosomal RNA", at positions 28 to 507 of the family's 1533-position model. The record is from RNAcentral.
GACGAACGCUGGCGGCGUGCUUAACACAUGCAAGUCGAACGGAAAGGCCCUGCUUUUGUGGGGUGCUCAAGUGGCGAACGGGUGAGUAACCCGUUAGUAACCUGCCCUUGCCUUUGGGAUAACUUCAGGAAACUGGGGCUAAUCCCGGAUAGGAGCUCCUGCUCCAUGGUGGGGGUUGGAAGGUUUCGGCGGUUGGGGAUGGACUCGCGGCUUAUCAGCUUGUUGGUGGGGUAGUGGCUUACCAAGGCUUUGACGGGUAGCCGGCCUGAGAGGGUGACCGGCCACAUUGGGACUGAGAUACGGCCCAGACUCCUACGGGAGGCAGCAGUGGGGAAUAUUGCACAAUGGGAGGAAGCCUGAUGCAGCAACGCCGCGUGCGGGAUGACGGCCUUCGGGUUGUAAACCGCUUUCGCCUGUGACGAAGCGUGAGUGACGGUAAUGGGUAAAGAAGCACCGGCUAACUACGUG